This 442-nucleotide ribosomal RNA is filed under the name uncultured bacterium. Its description in RNAcentral is "partial 16S ribosomal RNA". It matches the Rfam family "Bacterial small subunit ribosomal RNA", at positions 338 to 795 of the family's 1533-position model. The record is from RNAcentral.
CCUACGGGAGGCAGCAGUGGGGGAUAUUGCACAAUGGGGGAAACCCUGAUGCAGCGACGCCGCGGGGGCGAAGAAGUAUUUCGGUAUGGAAAGCCCUAUCAGCAGGGAAGAAGAAAGGACGUUACCGGAGUAAGAAGCACCGGCUAAAUACGUGCCAGCAGCCGCGGUAAUACGUAGGGUGCAAGCGUUAUCCGGAUUUACUGGGGGUAAAGGGAGCGCAGGCGGCGCGGCAAGCCUGAUGUGAAAGCCCGGGGCCCAACCGCGGGACUGCAUUGGGAACUACCGGGCUGGAGUGCAGGAGAGGUAGGCGGAAUUCCUGGUGUAGCGGUGAAAUGCGUAGAUAUUAGGAGGAACACCAGUGGCGAAGGCGGCCUACUGGACGGUGACUGACGCUGAGGCUCGAAAGCGUGGGGAGCAAACAGGAUUAGAUACCCGGGUAGUC